RNAcentral lists this long non-coding RNA (907 nucleotides) under Bos indicus x Bos taurus (hybrid cattle). Its description in RNAcentral is "lncRNA (ENSBIXG00005025202.1)". Lineage: Eukaryota; Metazoa; Chordata; Mammalia; Artiodactyla; Bovidae. The record is from RNAcentral.
GGUACAAAAGGCAGAGGCUGGCCUUCUGAGGGCAGAGACGAAGAAGGCGGAGAGCAAGCCUGCCCGGGGAACAGGUGGAGAGGGGGCAGCAGAGCUAGGCAGGACACAAUAAGAGGUAAAGCUAGGAAAAAAAAAAAAGAACGAAAGGGAUAAAGAGCCAGUGAGCAGACCUGACACAAAUAAGGAGAAAUGAUGAUUAAAAAGAUGUGCGUGAAGAGAAAAGGAGGAAACAGGAAAAGGGAACAAGUAAGGAGAUAAAAUAAGGAGUAAGCGCACAAGCUAAAUGCUUAGAAAAUCACCAGGCAGUUUGGCUGACUGGGAGAAGCGCCAUAGCCAGACUCCAAAGGGAACCAUCAGAAAGACAGAGGCAGGCGAUUUAAGUAGCCAGUUCCUGAGGUAAAAAUGAAAAAUAAAUAAAUAAAUAAAAUAGAAGAUGGAAAAGGUGAGAAGCAGGAGAGGGAAAACCCAGAGGAGACACUGGCCCAGAAACCUUUUUAACUUUCUGCAAGAAUCUUCAAGGCCCCAAACUAGGCCAAGAUUCUGACUGACAUUUCUGAGCUCACCAGCUGCUGUUUCCUUGAGAGAAUUCUGACAGGAAGGCAUAGAAAUGCAAGCCAACACUGCUAGCUCUGGAAAAAAAAAAAAUCCACGCUCCAAACACCUCCACGGGGCUGGAGCCUGCCAGGGAAGAAGGCAUACAGAGGAGGGACCCGGCGGCAACUUUUCCCCAGCCCUGCGGGCAGCCUGCUUCUGUCAUCUGAAGCCAGCUCCACGGUGUCUCCAGAAGCAGGUGAAGCUUCACAUCUGCAUCCCACAGGGGCGGGGGAGGACAUCGCUGGAAUCCAGCUCCAUCAGGCAGAGCCAGGCCAGGGGAAUUGGAGGAGAGAAAUCGCCCCAGCCCACAUGA